UAAAGAGAUAGUCAUUACAUGGACAUCUGGAGAAAAAAACAGCACAUGGAAGUAUCAAGUGUUCUGGGGCCGCCCAGGCAGAGGGAAACAAGAGCUAGACUACCUGCUCGUGAUCCCAGGAGGCUAAUGGAACAGUGAUGUAUCGCGGUUCCUGCCUCGUGAAUUUGGAAGCAGGAUUCUGCUCCUAGACAUCUUCUCCUAUGGAUUUCUCCUGGGCAAGAAUGGCAUCUCGGUGCAGGACCCGCAGCACUUUCUCUGGCUCCGCAGACCCGUAAUGAGCCUCCAGAACCUCAGGCUUGGUUUUCUCUGUCUUCAGCAUGUGGAUCACAUCUUCUCUGGCCUGUAAUAGAAAGUGCAGCAAGAUCAGACGACUGACAAUGUAAAUCGCAUACUGGGCUCAAAAAAUCAACAGAGAGCUUAUUGAAUACAUCCCCAUCUUGUCAGGGC
Homo sapiens (human) is the source of this 447-nucleotide long non-coding RNA. The record is from Ensembl. NCBI's taxonomy places the organism in Eukaryota, Metazoa, Chordata, Mammalia, Primates, Hominidae.